CGCCUGGCAGUCGGCCGGCGCGGACGGAGGCGGGGCGGGGGCGGGAGCGCCGGGUCCGCGUUCGGGAGCGGAGACUAGAGGUGUCGGUUGGGCCUCCAGCACUACAGAGCACGGAGCGGAGGUAGGGGGUAGGCUGGAUUCGCGCCUGCGCGUUGGAAACCAUGACAACCCCGGGCGGUCGGAGGCGGUGGGGCUUGGCCACCGCCGGGUUCCUGUCACAGAGAGAGAGAGAGAGAGGCAGAGACACAGGCAGAGGGAGAAGCAGGCUCCAUGCACCGGGAGCCCAACGUGGGAUUCGAUCCCGGGUCUCCAGGAUCGCGCCCUGGGCCAAAGGCAGGCGCCAAACCGCUGCGCCACCCAGGGAUCCCCACCGUCCCAGCAAAUUACGGCCGGAGAAGGGGGUCGUGAGAACCCCGACUUACAGCUGGGGGGCCAGCAGCAGGCUGACAGCCUGGACCUGUGGGUGGCCUCUGAGGUGGGGGUGGGCUCGUGGGACAAGGCCCUCAGUCCCGGGGCCUGCCCUUGAGCAGUGUCAGGACUGAGUGAAAUCGUAGGAUGCCCGCUGGGUGCCCGCGGAGGAGGAGGAUGGCUGGCUGCGGACACCCCACGCGUCGGUGCCCGUGUUGUGUGCACAGUGUUGCUCUACUUUACCUCAGGCUCAAACCCAAUGGGCCGGUCUCCUGCUCCCGGGUCCUAUGGCCCUGCCUCGGGCCUCGGGCGAGACCUACAUACUCAGCAGGUCUCCUCCCCUGCUCCGCCCCCCCCCCCAGCACUUGCCACAUUUUGGUCACUGUGGGCUGGACGCUGCGCGAGCUACCCACGCACAACACGCCCCCCCAAGCUCAGCCAGAGAAGCCUGGCCCUCGGUGUCUGCAGUGUGUGAGUACUUGCACACGCGUGUGACUACUUGUACACACAUUUUCCAGAUGUCUGUCGGACUCUGGGAGGGCCAGGGACUCGCAGUGAACUUGCGACAGUGGGCGCCUGGGAAUGUCUCCCCCCCCCCCCCCCCACGGCCUGUGCUGCAUGGCCUCCUGGAGUUUUUCUCCUGAGGGGAAGCCCAGCUCCCAUGCAGCCCUCCGGAGCCUCCUCCAGCCCUGUGUGCAGGGUACUGGCCGGGCCACCUCCAGUGAGUGUCCACCCGCACCGUGAGCACACAGGAGCUCCCCUGCCCGGCUGCCCACGGCCACUGCGCCUCAUUCGCUGGCUUCCUACAGCUGCCGUGACAAAGCGCCCCAAACCUAGUGGUUUGAAACAACAGAAGUUUAUUUCCCCAUACUUCUGGAGACCAGAAGUGCAAGAUAAAGUGGUCUGCUCCCUCCCAAGGUCCUCCAGGAAGACGCUCUGUCACCGUGUGCAGCUGCUGGAGGCUGCAGGCACUGUCCAGCCUGUGGCCACCUCUGCGUCCACUAUCACCUAGUCUUCUCUGUACCUGUGUCCAAACAUCCCCCUCAUUUCUCCUUCAAAGACACGUUACUGGAGUUAGGGCCCAUGCUGGUCCAGGAUGGCCUUAUCAUGAAACCUUGCCUGA
This is a long non-coding RNA of Canis lupus familiaris (dog), 1531 nucleotides long. RefSeq lists it as uncharacterized. The transcript is spliced from 2 exons. Lineage: Eukaryota; Metazoa; Chordata; Mammalia; Carnivora; Canidae. The record is from RefSeq and is a predicted model, not a curated record.